Molecule: microRNA precursor, 109 nt
Filed under: Marmota monax (woodchuck)
Lineage: Eukaryota; Metazoa; Chordata; Mammalia; Rodentia; Sciuridae
Source: RNAcentral
GGCACUGGGAUUUCAGGCGUGUGCCACCACGCCAGACUAAUUAACUUUAAAGACCAUUUUAAAAGUUAAUUAGUCUGGCGUGGUGGCACACGCCUGAAAUCCCAGUGCC